GACGAACGCUGGCGGCGUGCUUCAUACAUGCAAGUCGAACGGGUACCAAUCAGUGGCAACACUGAGGAAGUGCUAGUGGCGAACGGGUGAGUAACACGUGAGGAACUUGCCCCGGACUCUGGGAUAACAGGUGGAACACCUGCUAAUACCGGAUGCCAUCGGUGGAUCGCAUGGUCUACCGAUGAAAGAAUUUCGGUCCGGGAUGGCCUCGCGGCCUAUCAGCUAGUUGGUGGGUAACGGCCCACCAAGGCGUCGACGGGUAGCUGGUCUGAGAGGAUGAUCAGCCACACUGGGACUGAGACACGGCCCAGACUCCUACGGGUGGCUG
Molecule: ribosomal RNA, 328 nt
Filed under: uncultured Actinomycetes bacterium
Lineage: Bacteria; Bacillati; Actinomycetota; Actinomycetes
Description: bacterial SSU rRNA
Rfam family: Bacterial small subunit ribosomal RNA
Source: RNAcentral